Long non-coding RNA from Leopardus geoffroyi (Geoffroy's cat), 3472 nucleotides. RefSeq lists it as uncharacterized. Lineage: Eukaryota; Metazoa; Chordata; Mammalia; Carnivora; Felidae. The record is from RefSeq and is a predicted model, not a curated record. The transcript is spliced from 4 exons.
CUGCGCAGGCGCCUUCUCCAACAAGGCGACGGGUUUAGUAAAAUUUGUUCCGGAUUACCUCGGGGUGGGUCUUGAACCUCCCCAUUAGCCCCAUGGGCUGCCACGUUACUUCCGGAAACUGAGGUUGGAAAAGGUAAAGCUGCAUCGUCGAGGUCAGCCAUUACAAGGUAGACCCAGGACGAAGAGCCCACUCUCUUGGCGCGCGAAGUGUUUUUUUCGAAGGACCCACUGUUGGUGCCACUCAACCCAGCUUCUGGGAGCGGGGACUCACUCUCCCUGAGAAGUGGACUAUGCUGGUGCCCUCCGCCACCCUCCCCGAUUCCGAAGCUGGAGACUGGUCCUCUCUUCAGUGCUUGGGAGGGUGAUCCAUGCAAGUACCCCAGGUCUGCCUUCUCUCGGGGAAACCCGGAUAAUGGCCAUAAGGGCCUCUGAGGGCCAGCUUCCCUGAAAUAACUUCCUGUCGUGCCUAUGUCGCAAUAGGCCCUUUGCCGCCUCUUAGCCUGGAGGCAGGGUUAUUGGUACUGGACAAAGACAGCCCCUAAAGGGAUAACCCACCCGGAGUCGACUCAGAACGGCCUCUAGUCCCUGCGGUCUCUCAGCCAGACAGUUAUCCACUCUGAUAAUCCACCGGUCAGGGAACCAAGCGGGGCCUGAGCCCAGGCCCUCUGAGAGGAGACCCAACACUGCAGAAUGGGGUGAGGUAGAAUGUGUAGGGAAGAGAGCCUGGGGACAGAGGCGAGAAUGGGAGGAGUCUGGAGCCUGGAACGAGGGCAGGCAAGUCAGACCAUCUGUGGUUCCAACCGUAUUGCGUCCAGCAUUAGCAGAACCCCAGCUAUUUGAUGCCCCCCAUGAUCUCCUCCAUGCUGCCCAUCUCAGAGGUCGCUGGCACCCCCCACCCGGCCCUUCCCAGCUCGCGCACCUGGCGGCCUCGGACUCAGACCCAGGCAGGACCCCAGGGAGACUUCAUUUCUUCCAGGACCAGUGCACAGCAGAGCGGAGCCGAGGCACAGGAAGGUGCUGCCAGGGAAGAGCCUGACCUCAGGAGGCAUCUCUCUGCAGCCGAAGCCAACUGCUGAAACCCAUUUCCUGGGGCUGUCCACUAAACAAACUCCUCCCAGGGCUCCUGGUUCACAGACCUUCAGACCUAGACUGGAAUCUGCACCAUUGGCUUCCUUGGUUCUCAGGCCUUGAGAGUCCAACUAAAUUACACCACCAGUUUACCUGGGUCUCCAGUUUGCAGAUGGCAGAUCUUGGGAUUCUGCAAACUCCAUAAUUAACUUCAAGAGGCUAUCUGAAUUCCUCCACUCUUGGCUCCUUGCACCUAUGAAGCCCAACACCUGCAUCACCCCAACAUCUGCUUCCAGUGUCAUCCAGUGACUUCUCCUUCUCUGACUCUGACCUCACUCUCCUGCCUCUCUCUUUUUCCUGUUGGGACUCUUUAUAUGUUUAUUUAUUUUUGAGAGAGAGUGUGUGCAAGCAGGGGAGGGGCAGAGAGAGAGGGAGACAGAGAAUCCCAAGCAGACUCCACACUGUCAGCACAGAGCUGGAUGCGGGACUCGAACCCACCAAUGGCGAGAUCAUGACCUGAACCAAAAUCAAGAGUCGGUCACUUAACUGACUGAGCCACCCAGGGGCUCCAGGACAAACCAAAUUUUAAACACAAAAGCCGUUUAUUAACCAUGUAAUAAAUUUUUAAACUCAUAAAAAGCAUGAGAGGCAAAAAUAUGAUAACGUGGGAAGAAAAGAGAGACUGGGGAAAAUGGCUAUGUGUGUAUGUCAGGUACGUGGAUAAUAUCAAUAAUAUACAGCAUAUGGAUCUUUCAAAUUGAAAACAAAAGAGAAAAGCAGUCAAAGCAUCUGGGUAUCCUAUUCACAGAGGAGCUCAACAAAAUAACAAGCACAUAUCUGAAAAGGACUUUCCUACUAGUGGAGAAAUGCAAGUUGAAAUUAGGAUAAAAUGAUGAGACAUCACCUUACUUAGGCCUAUCAAACUGAUACAAAAUGAAAAAGCAUAAAGACCCAUAUGGCAAGUGGUGAUGCAGUGGUGUGUAGUCAAGUGUACUCUCCCAUAUUGAAGGUGCAAUUGUAAAAUGGAAAGCAAUCUGGAAAUAGAAAUUAACACUUAAAAUAUAGAAAAUAACGUGCUCAACCAUUACACUCCUAGAAAGCUAUUCCAUAGUAGUCAUAGGUAAGGAGUACACACAAGGAUAUUUCUUCAACACUGGCCACUGAGAUGCCAAAGAAUGGAAAGGGAGGGAGAGGGGAGGGAAAGAAUACAGGUAGGAUAGAUAUUAUUUCUUCUUUAAAUGAAACUACUUGAAUCUGGAAAUUUUGUGAGGAUGUUUAUAAUUAUAAAUGUAAUAUCUUCAGUAGAUUGUAGAACUAUAUGGACUUUUCUUUUUUCCCUUGUGUCAGUUUUUUGGGGGGGGGGGUUGAAGUUGGUUGUUUUUUGUUUGUUUUGUUUUGUUUUGUUUUGUUUUGUUUUGUUUUGUUUUGUUUUAAGAGAGCUCACAAGCAUGGGAAAGGGACAGAGAGAGAAGGAGACCGUCUCAAGCAGGCUCCACACCCAGAUCAGAGCCCAGGGCUUGAUCUCAUAUCCCUGAGAUCAUGACCUGAGCCAAAAUCAAAAGUUGGAUACACCCAGGCCUCCCUUGUCAGUUUUGAUCUAGACAGCACCUUGGCGCAUUUAUUGAUACAUUCCAAGUAAGAGUUGUAAUUUUAUUGGUUUUUUCUCUCUAUCCUUCAUCUCUAUUUCUUUUAAUUUCUACUUUAAUCUUUAUAAUUUCUUUUCUUUUACUUGCUUGGCAUUUAAUUUGCCUUCUUUUGCUAACUUCCUAAGGUGGGAGCUUUGAUCAUUUCUUUUUUCCCAAUAUAAGCAUUUUAAGUUAUAAAUUUCCCUCAAUGCUUUAACCGCAUUCCACAAAUUUCAAUAUGUUAUGUUUUCAUUGGGUCUAAACUAUUUUCUCAUUUACCCUGUGAUUUCUUCCUCAACCCAUGGGUUAUUUUCUAGUGAGUUUUGCAAUUUCCAAAUGUUCUUUGCUUUUCUUGGAUUUUUUUGUAGGAUUUCAAUUGCUUGGAGUCUCUUAAGACUUGUUUAUGGCCUGCCAUAUGGUCUGUAUUGCUGAAUGACACAUGUGCGCUUGAAAAACAUGUGUAUUCUGCAGUCCUUGAAGAUAUUGUUGUAGAAAUGAAUGUGAAUUCAGGUAAUGGAUGCUGUCACUGUGACCUACCAUAUCCUUCAUAGUUUUGUACCUUGUUCUACUGUUUAAAGUCUGCAAUUAUAAUUGUGAAUUUAUUUAUUUCUCCCUUAAUUUUUCAGGUUUUUAUGUAUUUUAAAGCUCUAUGAUUAUAUGUAUAUAUAUUUAAAACUGUUAUAUCUUCCUAAUGAACUGACUCAUUAUUAUGGAGAGUCCCUCUUUGUCUCUAGGAAAACUCUUGGCUAUAAAUCUACCUUGUUUUAACUACACCCUGA